GUUAGGAAUAUUGGACAAUGGGCGCAAGCCUGAUCCAGCCAUGCCGCGUGAGUGAUGAAGGCCUUCGGGUUGUAAAGCUCUUUAGCCGAUGAUUAUAAUGACUGUAGUCGGAAAAUAAGCCCCGGCUAACUUCGUGCCAGCAGCCGCGGUAAUACGAAGGGGGCGAGCGUUAUUCGGAAUCACUGGGCGUAAAGCGUGCGUAGGCGGCUUUGCAAGUUGGGAGUGAAAGCCCAGGGCUCAAACCUGGAAUUGCUCUCAAAACUGCAAGGCUCGAAUGCGGGAGAGGAUAGCGGAAUUGUCAGUGUAGCAGUGAAAUGCGUAGAUAUUGACAGGAACACCAGUGGCGUAAGCGGCUAUCUGGACCGAUAUUGACGCUGAGGCACGAAAGCGUGGGGAUCAAACAGGAUUAGAUACCCCAGUAGUCC
RNAcentral lists this ribosomal RNA (425 nucleotides) under uncultured bacterium. Its description in RNAcentral is "partial 16S ribosomal RNA". It matches the Rfam family "Bacterial small subunit ribosomal RNA", at positions 354 to 796 of the family's 1533-position model. The record is from RNAcentral.